AAGACUAUAGACCUGCGGAGUACCUGCGGAGGGAUCAUUAACACAUAAUCCAAUUUUUUUUUUGCCACGAAAUGUUGAUUUUAUCUUUCAUUAGAUGAAAAAGGCACUAGUGGUGAAAAAAAAGCACUGUGAGCUGUUGAAGUCUUUUAACCAUUUUUGAUAAAAUGGUUAUUUUUCAACAACAAUAAAAACACAAACUGAUUAAGAAAUAAUCGAGAGAGUUCAAAUCUUUCUUUUAUU
Molecule: unclassified non-coding RNA, 240 nt
Filed under: soil metagenome
Description: partial contains 5.8S ribosomal RNA, internal transcribed spacer 2, and large subunit ribosomal RNA
Source: RNAcentral